This 1270-nucleotide long non-coding RNA is filed under the name Lupinus angustifolius (narrow-leaved blue lupine). RNAcentral's name for it is "long non-coding RNA (LANG_LNC000383)". The record is from RNAcentral. Lineage: Eukaryota; Viridiplantae; Streptophyta; Magnoliopsida; Fabales; Fabaceae.
GUAUAAUCCAGAUUUUUUUCACAUAACAACAGGAAAUUCUUUCCCUUAUUUGUUACCCCUGUGUAUGUUCAUUCUUCCUUCCUUAAUUCUGUGAACACAAAAUCCAGAGUAUUACAUAUUUAUAUGAAUUCUUCCUUCCUUAAUUCUAUGAAUUCUUAUGCUUGGUUACUUAUGAGUUUGUCAACUAAGAAUCACAAUAAUGAAUAUUUUUAGUUUCUAGCAACAGCCAUCUAACAACUGAUAAUAAUUGCUUAUAUUAGUGAUUUGGUAUAGAUAGUGAGAAAUGAAGUUAAAACUGAACAAUAAUGUGUUUCACUAAGAAAAGUGAAUUCCUUGAACACAAAUUAGUAUAAUGUAGGAAUUUGUUGGUUCAUAUUUUUUAUAUGCAGAAAAUGUGAUAACUAAAGGGGGCAUUAUUUGGAGUUUAAAUUGAUAUCAAUAUACUCAAAUGAUAAAUAAAAUAACUAUAUAAUACAGACCCAAUAUUCUUCAUCACAAGCAUUAAUAAACUACCUUCCUAAGCUUCAGUUGUUUCAAUUACUUUUUCAACUUCUGCAAUGGUGCUUCUAGCUUCAUCAAUUUCAGGACUUUCCUUCUCAUCAGACUCCUCCAGCUCAGCCUGAAAGCAUUAGAAACACUCUAGAUAUUAUUGAAGCAUGAUCUACUGAUUCAAUUUCAAGAUCAUUAAUAGGUACCAAUGUAACAUAAUGACACUAAUAGGAUCAGGAUCAGUGACUAACCAUAUUCCUAUCAAAAUCUCUUGUUUAUGAUAUACAAGAUCAAUAAGGAAUCAUAAUCCUAGACUCAGCUAGCACAUUUUCCUGUUCAAUCAGGUUAACAAAGUUUACAAUCAUUUCUGUUUGGUGAAAAGGAAUCUGCAAUAGUAGAAUACACUAUCAUAUCUUACCAUAAUGAUCAAUAAGUAAUGCAAGACAUAUCUAAAGAAUUAAGAUGCCAACUCCAUAGUAGCUCUUUGUACCCUUCAAACAAAUAAGGACUUCAAUCUAUACCUUUGGGGAGAAAUGCUAGUAUCGAAAGUUGCAUUUUUGAACCAAAAUAAUUGAAAAGUAAAACAUAAGUUCACUACAAUGCUUCAUUAAUUGUGAAUGAAAAAAUAGGAAAAUAAGAAGAGAAAGAAAUGGUUUACAGUUUAAAUAGCUGCUUCUGAAUGCAGCACCGAAGCAGAUCCACGACGAAGAAGAUGAUCAAGUUUCAACUAAACCUUUACUCUCACCCAAAAACGCACCGUUUUGUUCUUUUUUGAUAAGGG